This 1216-nucleotide ribosomal RNA is filed under the name Navis striatus. RNAcentral's name for it is "Argas striatus 16S ribosomal RNA". The stretch from base 970 to 1128 matches the Rfam family "Archaeal large subunit ribosomal RNA", at positions 2544 to 2703 of the family's 2987-position model. The record is from RNAcentral. Lineage: Eukaryota; Metazoa; Arthropoda; Arachnida; Ixodida; Argasidae.
UAAGGUAAAAGAUUGUUUUUUAAAAUGAUUAAAGUUAUUUAAUAGGUAUUUUUAUUAAAAAAAGGUUUUUACUAUAGUUUAUAGUACUGUAAGGGAAAAUUGAAAAGUUUUUUUCUUUUGAAAAGUAUAUAAAGUACCUUUUGUAUUAGGGUCUAACAAGAAAUUAAAAGUAUUUUUAAUUCCCGAAGUUUAAAGAGCUAUUUUUAAAUAAAAAAAAUGUGUUUCAAUAUAUUUUUAAAUUUAAAAAUAGUAAUGAAAUGUUAUUCGUUUUGGAGGAUAUCUGGUUAAAAUAAUAUAACUAUAUGUUAUACUAUGAGGUUUAAAAUAUUUUAAUAUUUUAUAGUUUUGAUUUAUGGGAUAAGCUAUAAAUUUUUUUAUAUAAUAAAAUAUUUUUAAAAAAAGGUUUGGAAUUGACUAUUUUUUGUAAUAAAAAAUUAUUAUUAAUAUUAAUUUUUUAAAAAGUAAAAUUAUUUUAUUUAAUUGUAAAUAAAAGAAAUGAUGUUAGGAUUAGUAUAAAUUUUUAAUAUUUUUUAAAAAUGUUUUUUUUUAAAAAAAUUAAUAUAGAUUUUAUAAACUCGGCAAUAAAAUUUCUGAUUGUUUAUCAAAAACAUUGUAUCUUGUUUAAUUUUAAGAUAUUUUACCUGCUCACUGCGAUUAGUAAAUUGCUGUGGUAUUUUGACUAUACGAAGGUAUUGAAAUAAGGCUUUAAAUAAGUGCUAAAAGAAUGGUGGAACAGGGAUUUUCUUUUUUGAAUUUAUUAUUAGAAGUUAAUAUUUAAGUGAAAAGGCUUGGAUGUUUUUUUGGGACAAGAAGACCCUAUGAAUUUUUAAAAAAAAAUAAAUAUAUUUAUUUUUUUAAAAAUUAAAUUUUAUUUUUUUUUUUAAUUGGGGUGAUUUUUAAAGAAAAAGUAUCUUUAGAAAAAAAUUAAUAGACUCAUUUUUUAUGUUUUUUUGUUAAAAAUACUCUAGGGUUAACAGCGUAAUAAUUUUGGAUAGUUCAUAUAGAUAAAAUUGAUUGCGACCUCGAUGUUGGAUUAGGAUUCUUUUAUAGUGUAGAUGCUAUAAGAAGAAGUUUGCUCAACUUUUAAUUUCCUACAUGAUCUGAGUUCAGACCGACGUGAGUCAGGUUGGUUUCUAUCUAAAUAAGUUUGUUUUUAUUUUAGUACGAAAGGAAUAAAUAAAUAAGUUUUACUUUUUUUUUUUCUUUUUUAAAAUUA